GACGAACGCUGGCGGCGUGCCUAAUACAUGCAAGUCGAACGCAGUGGGGACGGGUGCGUAACACGUGGGUAACCUCCCAUCAGAGGGGAUAACAAUUGGAAACAGGUGCUAAACCGAUACUGAUGGAUGGACCAGCGGUGCAUUAGCUAGUUGGUGGGGUAAAGGCUCACCAAGGCCACGAUGCAUAGCCGGUCUGAGAGGGUGACCGGCCACACUGGGACUGAGACACGGCCCAGACUCCUACGGGAGGCAGCAGUAGGGAAGCUUGGGCAAUGGGCGAAAGUCUGACCGAGCAACGCCGCGUGAGUGAAGAAGGGUUUCGGAUCGUAAAACUCUGUUGUUAGAGAAGCGGUAUCUAACCAGAAAGCCACGGCUAACUACGUGCCAGCAGCCGCGGUAAUAC
Molecule: ribosomal RNA, 403 nt
Filed under: uncultured bacterium
Lineage: Bacteria
Description: partial 16S ribosomal RNA
Rfam family: Bacterial small subunit ribosomal RNA
Source: RNAcentral